UUCCGGUUGAUCCCGCCGGACCCGACUGCUAUCAGAGUGGGACUAAGCCAUGCGAGUCGACACAGCAAUGUGUGGCAUACGGCUCAGUAACACGUAGUCAACAUGCCCAGGGGACGUGGAUAACCUCGGGAAACUGAGGAUAAACCGCGAUAGGUCACUACUUCUGGAAUGGGUAAUGACCCAAACCUAUAUGGCCCCUGGAUUGGACUGCGGCCGAUCAGGCUGUUGGUGAGGUAAUGGCCCACCAAACCUGUAACCGGUACGGGCUCUGAGAGGAGGAGCCCGGAGAUGGGCACUGAGACAAGGGCCCAGGCCCUAUGGGGCGCAGCAGGCGCGAAACCUCUGCAAUAGGCGAAAGCUUGACAGGGUUACUCUGAGUGAUUUCCGUUAAGGAGAUCUUUUGGCACCUCUAAAAAUGGUGCAGAAUAAGGGGUGGGCAAGUCUGGUGUCAGCCGCCGCGGUAAUACCAGCACCCCGAGUGGUCGGGACGUUUAUUGGGCCUAAAGCAUCCGUAGCCGGUUCCACAAGUCUUCCGUUAAAUCCACCUGCUCAACAGAUGGGCUGCGGAAGAUACUAUGGAGCUAGGAGGCGGGAGAGGCAAGCGGUACUCGAUGGGUAGGGGUAAAAUCCGUUGAUCCAUUGAAGACCACCAGUGGCGAAGGCGGCUUGCCAGAACGCGCUCGACGGUGAGGGAUGAAAGCUGGGGGAGCAAACCGGAUUAGAUACCCGGGUAGUCCCAGCUGUAAACGAUGCAGACUCGGUGAUGAGUUGGCUUUAUGCCAACUCAGUGCCGCAGGGAAGCCGUUAAGUUUGCCGCCUGGGGAGUACGGUCGCAAGACUGAAACUUAAAGGAAUUGGCGGGGGAGCACCACAAGGGGUGAAGCCUGCGGUUCAAUUGGAUUCAACGCCGGG
Molecule: ribosomal RNA, 912 nt
Filed under: uncultured archaeon
Lineage: Archaea
Description: bacterial SSU rRNA
Rfam family: Archaeal small subunit ribosomal RNA
Source: RNAcentral